ACGUUUGAGGUCGGAGGGUAAGCGUGGUAAGCGACACAUUUGUGAGGAUCCUGGCGUAACGUCAAUGCCUGACUUCUCUAUCUGAAACAAUGUGGGGAAAAAACGGAUAGUAACCGAGUGCAUCAGUAAUAAGUACGUGUGGAUGAUAUCAAAUGGGAGUACAUUGUGUUGAAUAAUCAAUCAAAUCAAGUUUCCGGAUCUGAUAUACGGUAUUACGGUGAAUGUCCCGGAAUUCAAAUAGGAUGAAGGUGUGAAAUUAGAUAGAAACCUGGAGUUAACUUUUACUCGACCGGUAUCAUGUAGCUGGCCAAUCACAGGGUGUGUAAUAGAACGGCAGCACGGAGCCUGCCAGUCAAAGAGCGUGUACUAGAACUACAGCAUGGAGCUGGAUGUGUACUGGAAACGUAAAAUAUAACAUUUUUAACUUUGUUUAUAUUUCGUAUAGCCAAUCGACUAUAAGCAUCUCCUCUUGAAAUGACAAAUUAAAAUCAACGGACAUGAAAAUACAUUUUGUAUUUUAAUGCACCAAUCAAAGUCUACGGCAUAGACAAACGAUGUCGCGAUCUAAAUUGGUCCAACCAAAGCCAAGUUAGUCUGUUAAAAAGGAUUAGAUUGAUUUUUUUUAAGCGACGAUGAGUUUUCUUUUAUCCAUUUGCUAUAAAUUUACUGAUUUACAUAAUAUUGAUAAACAUAACAAUAAUUUA
Molecule: long non-coding RNA, 704 nt
Organism: Pecten maximus
Lineage: Eukaryota; Metazoa; Mollusca; Bivalvia; Pectinida; Pectinidae
Exons: 2
Source: RefSeq, a predicted model, not a curated record